UACGUAGGGUGCAAGCGUUGUCCGGAAUUAUUGGGCGUAAAGAGCUCGUAGGCGGUUCGUCGCGUCGGCUGUGAAAACCCGGAGCUCAACUCCAGGCCUGCAGUCGAUACGGGCGGACUCGAGUUCGGCAGGGGAGACUGGAAUUCCUGGUGUAGCGGUGAAAUGCGCAGAUACCAGGAAGAACACCCGUGGCUAAGGCGGUUCUCUAGUACGGUACUGACGCUGAGACGCGAAAGCGUGGGGAGCGAACAGG
This 253-nucleotide ribosomal RNA is filed under the name uncultured bacterium. Its description in RNAcentral is "partial 16S ribosomal RNA". It matches the Rfam family "Bacterial small subunit ribosomal RNA", at positions 524 to 776 of the family's 1533-position model. The record is from RNAcentral.